RNAcentral lists this ribosomal RNA (440 nucleotides) under uncultured bacterium. RNAcentral describes it as "partial 16S ribosomal RNA". It matches the Rfam family "Bacterial small subunit ribosomal RNA", at positions 338 to 795 of the family's 1533-position model. The record is from RNAcentral.
CCUACGGGUGGCUGCAGUCGGGGAUAUUGCACAAUGGGGGAAACCCUGAUGCAGUGACGCCGCGUGAGUGAAGAAGUAUUUCGGUAUGUAAACCUCUAUCAGCAGGGAAGAAAAUGACAGUUCCUUACCAAGAAGCCUCGGCUAACUUCGUGCCCGCAGCCGCGGUAAUACGUAGGGGGCCAGCGUUAUCCGGAUUUACUUGGUGUAAAGGGGGCGUAGACGGAUAUGUAAGUCAGGUGUGAAAGCCCGGGGCCGAACCGAGGGACUGCUUUUGAAACUUCGUAACUGGAGUACAGGAGAGGAAGGCGGAAUUCCUGGUGUAGCGGUGAAAUGCGUAGAUAUCAGGAGGAACACCAGCGGCGAAGGCGGCCUGCUGGACUGAAACUGACGUUGAGGCUCGAAAGCGUGGGGAGCAAACAGGAUUAGAUACCCGAGUAGUC